GUCUUUUUGUAUUUAUUUAAGGUUUAACCUGCCCAAUGAUUUAUUUAAAUGGCCGCAGUAUAUUGACUGUGCAAAGGUAGCAUAAUCAUUAGUUUUUUAAUUAGAAGCUAGAAUGAAGGGUUGGACGAGAUAAAAUCUGUCUUUAUUUAAUUUUUAUUAGAAUUUAAUUUUUAAGUUAAAAAGCUUAAAUUUGAUUAAAAGACGAGAAGACCCUAUAGAUCUUUAUAAUUUAAUUAAUUAAAAUUAAUUUAGUUAUUUUAAAUUUUUUAUUUAAUAAAUUAUUUUAUUGGGGUAAUAGAAAGAUUAAAUUAAUUCUUUUUUAUUUAAACAUUUAUUUAUGAUUAAAUGAUCCAAUUUUAUUGAUUACAAGAUUAAGAUACCUUAGGGAUAACAGCGUAAUUUUUUUUGAGAGUUCAUAUCGAUAAAAAAGUUUGCGACCUCGAUGUUGGAUUAAAAAUUAUUUUAGGUGUAGAAGCUUAAAAAAUUGGUCUGUUCGACCAUUAAAUUUUU
RNAcentral lists this ribosomal RNA (510 nucleotides) under Haliplus lineatocollis. RNAcentral describes it as "partial 16S ribosomal RNA". The stretch from base 387 to 510 matches the Rfam family "Bacterial large subunit ribosomal RNA", at positions 2473 to 2597 of the family's 2925-position model. Lineage: Eukaryota; Metazoa; Arthropoda; Insecta; Coleoptera; Haliplidae. The record is from RNAcentral.